CUGGGCCGGCGCCUACACAUGCAGUCGAACGCAGUAGCAAUACUGAGUGGCAAACGGGUGAGUAUAAUGUGGGAAUCUGCCUUUUGGUUUGGAAUAACACGGGGAAACUUGUGCUAAUACCGAAUAAGCCCUUACGGGGAAAGUUUUAACGCCGAAAGAUGAGCCCGCACUUGAUUAGCUAGUUGGUAAGGUAAAAGCUUACCAAGGCAACGAUCAAUAGCUGUUCUUAGAGGAAGACCAGCCACAUUGGGACUGAGACACGGCCCAGACUCCUACGGGAGGCAGCAGUGGGGAAUCUUGCACAAUGGGGGAAACCCUGAUGCAGCGAUGCCGCGUGAGUGAAGAAGGCCCUUGGGUUGUAAAACUCUUUCGUCGGGGAAGAAAAUGACUGUACCCGAAUAAGAAGGUCCGGCUAACUUCGUGCCAGCAGCCGCGGUAAUACGAAGGGACCUAGCGUAGUUCGGAAUUACUGGGCUUAAAGAGCUCGUAGGUGGUUAAAAAAGUUGAUGGUGAAAUCCCAAGGCUUAACCUUGGAACUGCCAUCAAAACUUUUUAGCUAGAGUGUGAUAGAGGUAAGUGGAAUUUCUAGUGUAGAGGUGAAAUUCGUAGAUAUUAGAAAGAAUACCAAUUGCGAAGGCAGCUUUCUGGAUCAUUACUGACACUGAGGAACGAAAGCAUGGGUAGCGAAGAGGAUUAGAUACCCUCGUAGUCCAUGCCGUAAACGAUGUGUGUUAGACGUUGGAAAUUU
RNAcentral lists this ribosomal RNA (748 nucleotides) under uncultured bacterium. RNAcentral describes it as "bacterial SSU rRNA". It matches the Rfam family "Bacterial small subunit ribosomal RNA", at positions 36 to 832 of the family's 1533-position model. The record is from RNAcentral.